Molecule: long non-coding RNA, 636 nt
Organism: Prunus dulcis (almond)
Lineage: Eukaryota; Viridiplantae; Streptophyta; Magnoliopsida; Rosales; Rosaceae
Exons: 3
Source: RefSeq, a predicted model, not a curated record
GAGCUUCGUUCACUUCUUCGAACGAAGGAAGCUUCGUUCAUCUCUUUGAACGAAACGAGUUUCGUUCACCUCUUCGAACGAAGCUCAGUAUGAUGUGGUUCCAGAUCUUCUUUUUCGAUUCUUCUGAGCUUAGUAUGGCGUAGAUUGGAGUUCUAUUGCUUCAAUUUCUUUUUCUUUCUUGUUUGAUUUGGUGAUUUUUGGAUUGAUAUGCGCUGCAUGAGACUCGAUUGGAGCUUGGUGAGAUCUGUGAUCUUCGAUUUUUGAGAUUCGUUUUGAUUGUGGAUUUGCUCUUGUGUUUUGGUUUGAGCUGUGGUGAAAAAUUUGUGUUAUUCGAUUUAAUUGAGAGAUAUAUAUGGAUGAUUCGAGAGUGGCGAAGUGCACCUAUGGUGCUGGAACUUUAAUGCUUAUUUUGUCUUCAACUACUACUUUUGAUUGGUUGUCCAACGAGUUGUGUAGUAGGUUUAAGCUUAAGUUAGGUCAUUUUGAGUUGAGGUACUCUUUUAUGGAUUGCUCCAAUUGUUUGUUGGAAUCGGACGAUGAUUUGAAAAUCAUGUUUAUGGUAUGUGGACUGAUGAAGGAUCAAUUAAUUCACAUUGCUGUUAGGGAUAAGGCUGUAGUGAAUCAUGUUCAAACUGU